CGGGUCGCCAUAGCAACUAAAUCUGGCUCUAAUUCAGGCCUGGGCCCACUGGGGCUCUCCCUCCAGGUGUUUUGGACUUCAACUCCCACAGUUCCUAACACCUGGAGGGAGAGCCCCAGUGGGCCCACGUCUGCUUUCGAGACAUUGAAAUGUUCUCCAGAAAGGGCAGACACAUCCAUGACUCCUUCACUGCAACUGUCUUGAUUCAUGCCCAUUCAUUUAUCAAUUAUUUAUUUAAUGUAUUUGUAUACCGCUGGCAAAGUGUGUUAAAGCACUGACCUGCUGAACUUGCAGACUGAAAGGUGCCAGGUUCAAAUCCCGGGAGCGGAGUGAGCGCCCGCUGUUGCUUCAGCUUCUGCCAACCUAGCAGUUCGAAAACAUGCCAAUGUCAAGGGGGGGCACUGAUCCAAUCUCAUUGGGGAUAGAGUUCCAGAGCCGAGGAGCCACCACUGAGGAGGCCCUGUCUUAUCUCCACCAACUGUACUUGCAAAGGAGGUGGAACCAAGAGCAGGGCCUCUCCAGAAGAUCUUAACCUCUGUGGUGGUUCAUAGAGGGAGAUAUAUUCAGAAGGUAAGCUGGACUGGGACAGUUUGGGGCUUUAUGGGCUAAAGCCCAGCGUUGUGCUCAGUAGCAAACUGGCAACCAGUGGAGCUGACAUAACAGGGGAGUUGUAUGCAGAGGUGGUCCAACCAUAAGGCGAAAUAGGCAUUUGCCUGUGGCGCCAUCGUCCCGGGGGCACCAUCGUCCUGGGAGGAGGGCACCACUCUCCACCUCCUUCUCUUUCGGGCCUUCCAGCGGCCGCACUGGGCCUUCCGGCCAGCGCAGACCCACCUUCGCACCACGCAAGCCCACCUUUGGGGCCUUCAGAGAUUGUGAGGUCUGUAGGAACUUGGAAGCUAGGUAUGUGGGGUUUAUAUAUCUGUAGAAGGUCCAGGGUGGGAGAAAGAACUUUUCUUUGAAGCAGGUGUGAAUGUUGUAAUUAAUCACCUUGAUUAGCAUUUAAUGGCCCUGUGGCUUCAAGGCCUGGCUUCUUCUUGCCUGGGAGAAUCUUUUUUUGGGAGGAGUUAGCUGUCCCUGAUUGUUUACUGUCUGGAUUUCUUCUGUUUUCAGAGUGUUGUUCUUUAUUUAUUGUCCUGAUUUUAGAGGGGUUUUUUUAAUACUGAGGGCUAUCUGGGUUAUCUAAGUCCACACUGCCCUAUAUCCCUGUUCAAUGUUUAGUGCUAAAUUUGCAAAUAUAGUAAUUCCUACAUAACAUUACCAUGUAUUGAACUGCGUUUUCUAUUGAUUUGUUGUAAAACAUGAUGUUUUGGGGCUUAAUUUUUAAAAUCAUAAUGUAAUUUGAUGUUUUAUAGGCUUUUCCUUUAUACUUCCUUAUUGUCCAACAUUUUCGCUUAUCCAACGCUUUUAUUUUUCAGUGAUUGGUUUGGGGGCGCCAAAAUUCUGUUCGCCUACACUUGAAAAAUACCUAGGGCCGGCUCUGGUUGUAUGCUCCAUGUACUCCACUCCAGUAAGGAGCUUGGCUGCUGCCUGUUGGUUCACUUGAAGCUUCCAAAUAGUCUUCAACAGUAGUCCCACAUAGAGCGUGUUGCAGUAAUCUAUUCAAGAUGUAACAAGAGUGUGGACCACAAUGGCCAGGUCUGGCUUCUCAAGGUACAGGCGCAACUGGCGUACAAGUUUUAAUUGUGUAAAAGUUCCCCUGGCCAACGCUGAAACCUGGGGUUCCAGGCUCAGCAAUGAGUCCAACAUCACUCCCAAGCUGUGAACCUGCGCCUUCAGAGGGAGUGUAAACCCAUCCAGGACAGGCUGUAAUCCUAUACCCUGUUCAUCCUUCCACCUGACCAGGAGUACUUAUGUCUUGCCUACAUUCAAAUUCAAUUUGUUCGCCCUCAUGCGCACUGUCACAGCUGCCAAGCAUUGGGUCAGGACCUGAACAGCCUCCUUAGUAGCAGGUGGAAAGGAGUGAUAGAGUUUAUCCGCUGGCACUCAGGGCCCUUCCACACAGCGGAAUAAAAUCCCACAUUUUCUUCUUUGAACUAGGAUAUAUGGCAGUGUGGACUCAGAAAACUUAGUACAAAGAAAAUAUUGUGGAUUAUCUGCCUUUAUAUUCUGGGUUAUAUGGCUGUGUGGAAGGACCCAGAGUCUGACCUAUCUUUGAACAAUGAAGUGAAGUAUGCUUCAAGGAGACUUACUUGAAAUGAGACUUGUUAAGUCUUUCAACAUGUCACUGCACUCCUUGUUGGCUUUUGCCAUGUCAAAUCAAAAUGGCCGCCCACCAGGAAAUUUGUUGAGACUCAACAAAUCUAUUAAUCAUUUGGACCUUGGCGGGAGAUUCAAAACUGGCUGGCUGGGAGCCCCAAAGGCUUGCCAGAAGACUUGUGGCAGCUGCCAGCUCUAGAAGAUACAUUGUUUCCAAAUCCCUCUUUAUGAAUUACAAAAUAACUCCUUAAUAAGACACCUUUAUUAUCUCCUCCUUGUCUUUCUAUUGACUUUCAUGGCCUGCCCCAAUUACUGUGUGGUCCCUCAGAGAAGGGAGGGUUUCUCUCCCUUCUCUUCCCAUUACCACUGCCCCCCCCCCCCCCCCCCCGUAUGCUCCCCAAUCCUUGGUCUACCUCCAUACCCAGAAACCCCGGCAUCCAGAACUAAGUGCCCCUGGUAUCUGCGGAUAAGACAAUGCCAGUAUCACUUAUGUAUUCUUUAAUAUUUUAUGUUUUAUUAUUUUAUAAAAUGCUUUUGGAGCCACAAAGCCGCCACCACGACCUUGGUGACCUUUCACCGGCACUCCCUUCCCUGGAAUUCCCCCUGUGUCUUCUUGGCCUUCACCUCAACAAAGGACCCAAGCACCCAUCAUCUUUGGAAUCAAUCCAUUUAUGUUGAUUCCCAUUUGAACUGGCUGUACAGAGGAUGAUCGGACCCUGAAUUGGGCUCAUUAUCAUCUGGCACCCUUCCUGGAGUUUGGAAGGUCUUGCCACUGCUUUUCUGAUUACCCUUUACCCCUUUCCCAGGAAUGGAUUUCUUAAUCCCAUCACUCUGGACAGCAUGUUGCAAGGUCAACAAUGGACAUAGGCACAGUGGGCACCAGACCCACCUGAUGGGUCAUUCACUAGACAAUCACUACAACAAUAAUUCUCAGGGACCUGAUGAUCCUGCUUUGUUAGUUUCGAGGUUGAGACACUGUAGCCCAUUCAUAAAACUAUAUUGUCCUUUGUUUUUCCUGAUCAUCUUGCCCCCUGCCUGUCUUUGGAGAAUCAUAAUCGGCAUCGGAAGUGGGGAAAGCUCUCUGAUUGGCUGCCGGGUGCCGCAGCCCCUCCAUGUGGAGGGAAUCCUCCCAGCUUCUUGUGACAUCAGAGUCAGCUUCACCAAUCAGUGCAAGGCUGGCCCCAGCUGGGCAUGAGUGCGAAAGACAAAAGACUGAACUGUGUAAAAUGUGUGUUUUAUCUGUACCAUGGCACGUCAGCUUCUUUGAGUGGCUUACCGCUGGCUGUAAUCCUUUCUGGCUGGAUCAAAUAAAUUGCCUCCAUGGCUUUUGCUUCAAGUGGUGAGACUUCUUUGAUUGGGGAACAUUGGGUUUUAGCUUUAGGUCUUGCAAGGCACAAACCCUGCAGCCUGGUACUAGCUCUUGUUAUUCGCGCACUGCAUCUCGCUAUCCGUGGUCCAGAUCUCACUAGCCAUGAACUGCCCUAAAUUGCUCAAUAACAUAUAUAUAUGUGUGUGUGUGUAUGUACAUACAUGAAUAAACUUAUUUAAUAAAAUAUAACCAGAUAGGCCCAAAGACAUUCACCUCCUUGCUGAAAGAUUUCCUGGACAAGAAGAAUGGGCAAACCCUCUGGGCCUUUUCACAAGCACACUAACCCUAAUCUCUGCAUGUGUAUGCAGAGAGAGGUGGUUUCCUGUCAGCCCAGAUAGACCCUAUGUGGUUCACUUGAAACUGAGAGAUUGCUGUCCACAAAAAUAGAGGCUUAGAGUAUGUGCAUGUGUUAAACCUCUUUAUUAGCAGCCAAGCCUGAUUGCCCAAGAUCAGCACCUUUGUUCCUUGAGUCUUACACCCUUGUUUAACGCUCCGAUCUUUGUUUGACACAGAACUUUGAGCUUAUCAGAGGCCCAUCUCCAUGUCUUUAUCAUUUGUUUUCCCCAGAGAGUGCUCUCCCAGCUGAUUGGUCCUUCACUCUGAUCAAUCCCCAGCUACCAUUCCCCCUCCCAGCCAAUCCUGGCAUGGAUCCUAGCCAGCCUCUUUUCUGGCCAACCAGAAGAGGGACGGGAAGACUGAAUACCUGUAUCAGAACUGUAUAAGGUAUCUUGUAUUUCGCCGUAUGUUUAUUAUGAAGCAAAUUGCUGUACUUGCAUCCCUUUUGGCCAAAUUGAAUAAACCUCUAUGACUUGUCUUCAA
This is a long non-coding RNA of Anolis carolinensis (green anole), 4384 nucleotides long. RefSeq lists it as uncharacterized. The transcript is spliced from 2 exons. The record is from RefSeq and is a predicted model, not a curated record. NCBI's taxonomy places the organism in Eukaryota, Metazoa, Chordata, Lepidosauria, Squamata, Anolidae.